This 26-nucleotide non-coding RNA is filed under the name Mus musculus (house mouse). Lineage: Eukaryota; Metazoa; Chordata; Mammalia; Rodentia; Muridae. The record is from RNAcentral.
UGUGAUACUAGAGAAGGUCCCAGUGA